CCCUUCGUGGUGUAGUGGUCAGCGCACUCGGCUAGUAUUCGAGAGGUCCAAGGUUCGAGUCCCGGCGAGGGCA
Molecule: transfer RNA, 73 nt
Filed under: Stegodyphus mimosarum
Lineage: Eukaryota; Metazoa; Arthropoda; Arachnida; Araneae; Eresidae
Rfam family: tRNA
About the family: Transfer RNA (tRNA) molecules are approximately 80 nucleotides in length. Their secondary structure includes four short double-helical elements and three loops (D, anti-codon, and T loops).
Source: Rfam by way of RNAcentral